GAUGAACGAUGGCGGCGUGCCUAAUAUAUGCAAGUCGAGCGGAGCGGCGGACGGGUGAGUAAUGCCUAGGAAUCUGCCUGGCAGUGGGGGAAAACGUCCGGAAACGGGCGCUUAUAUCGCAUACUAUCAGAUGAGUCUAGGUCGGAUUAGCUAGUUGGUGGUGUACAGGCUUACCAAGCCGACGAUCCGUAACUGGUCUGAGAGGAUGAUCAGUCACACUGGAACUGAGACACGGUCCAGACUCCUACGUGAGGCAGCAGUGGGGAUUAUUGGACAAUGGGCGAAAGCCUGAUCCAGCCAUGCCGCGUGUGUGAAGAAGGUCUUCGGAUUGUAAAGCACUUUAAGUUGGGAGGCGUUCCCAACAGAAUAAGCACCGGCUAACUUCGGGCCAGCAGCCGCGGUAAUAC
Molecule: ribosomal RNA, 407 nt
Filed under: uncultured bacterium
Lineage: Bacteria
Description: partial 16S ribosomal RNA
Rfam family: Bacterial small subunit ribosomal RNA
Source: RNAcentral